RNAcentral lists this unclassified non-coding RNA (253 nucleotides) under Patescibacteria group bacterium. Its description in RNAcentral is "contains 16S-23S intergenic spacer region". It matches the Rfam family "Bacterial small subunit ribosomal RNA", at positions 524 to 776 of the family's 1533-position model. The record is from RNAcentral.
UACAGAGACCUCAAGCGUUAUCCGGAUUUAUUGGGCGUAAAGGGUCCGCAGGCGGCCCCUCAAGUCAUUUGUCAAAUCGUUGGGCUUAACCCGACGGCUGCAGAUGAUACUGAAGGGCUAGAGACUGGGAGAGGCACGUGGAAUUUGUGGUGUAGUCGUAAUAAGCGUUGAUAUCACAAGGAACACCAAAUGCGAAGGCAGCGUGCUGGAACAGUUCUGACGCUCAGGGACGAAAGCGUGGGGAGCGAAAGGG